RNAcentral lists this ribosomal RNA (955 nucleotides) under uncultured bacterium. Its description in RNAcentral is "bacterial SSU rRNA". It matches the Rfam family "Bacterial small subunit ribosomal RNA", at positions 9 to 954 of the family's 1533-position model. The record is from RNAcentral.
GAGUUUGAUCAUGGCUCAGGAUGAACGCUAGCGGCAGGCUUCGUACAUGCAAGUCGAGGGGCAGCAUAAAUUACUUGUAAUUUGAUGGCGACCGGCGAACGGGUGCGUAACGCGUAUGCAACCUACCUUUUACUAGAGAAUAGCCAAGAGAAAUUUUGAUUAAUGCUCUAUACACUUUAAGACUCACAUGAGUCUAAAAGAAAAGCUCCGGCGGUAAAAGAUGGGCAUGCGUUCUAUUAGCUUGUAGGUGAGGUAACGGCUCACCUAAGCUUCGAUAGAUAGGGGUCCUGAGAGGGAGACCCCCCACACUGGUACUGAGACACGGACCAGACUUCUACGGAAGGCAGCAGUAAGGAAUAUUGGACAAUGGAGGCAACUCUGAUCCAGCCAUGCCGCGUGAAGGAAGAAGGCCCUAUGGGUCGUAAACUUCUUUUAUACAGGAAGAAAUCUUUCCACGUGUGGAAAGUUGACGGUACUGUAAGAAUAAGGAUCGGCUAACUCCGUGCCAGCAGCCGCGGUAAUACGGAGGAUCCAAGCGUUAUCCGGAAUUAUUGGGUUUAAAGGGUCCGCAGGCUGUUUGUUAAGUUAGAGGUGAAAUCCUACCGCUCAACGGUAGAACUGCCUUUAAAACUGGCAAACUUGAGUUAUUGUGAAGUAAUUAGAAUGUGUAGUGUAGCGGUGAAAUGCAUAGAUAUUACACAGAAUACCGAUUGCGAAAGCAGAUUACUAACAAUUAACUGACGCUGAGGGACGAAAGCGUGGGUAGCGAACAGGAUUAGAUACCCUGGUAGUCCACGCCGUAAACGAUGGUCACUAGCUGUUUGAUGUACAUUGGUACAUUGAGUGGCUAAGCGAAGUGAUAAGUGACCCACCUGGGGAGUACGCUCGCAAGAGUGAAACUCAAAGGGAAUUGACGGGGGCCCGCACAAGCGGGUGGGAGCAUGGUGGGUUUAAA